RNAcentral lists this long non-coding RNA (1035 nucleotides) under Coturnix japonica (Japanese quail). RNAcentral's name for it is "lncRNA (ENSCJPG00005005376.1)". The record is from RNAcentral. Lineage: Eukaryota; Metazoa; Chordata; Aves; Galliformes; Phasianidae.
CGCCGGCCGCCGAUACGGCGCUGCCCCGGCCGCCCCCCCAGCCGCGCUUGGGCUCGGCUCAUCUGCAGCCGCCGCGAUCAACCUGCGGCUCCCGCUGACAGCCGGGCGGGGCCGCUCCGCCCAGCGGCAAGACGGGAAAUGUAGUCCGGGGCUGGGCACCGGGCCUGCCGUGAGAGUUUGGCCCGGCAGGUGCCCAGCCUGAAGAUGUGAGGUGCUGCCCUGCAUCACGCUGCUCCCCCCACCACCCCUUUACCCUGUCCCACACGGACAGGUUGCCCAAAAUCUCAAGCAGUGAGGGAGAUUAGCAGCACAGUAACCGAGCCUCGAACUGCUACAGAUCUUGCUACCAUCCUUGUGGUCUGCCCUGAGAUGUUUGCUGUCUGAAAAGCAGCGCUGCAUUUCUACCCUGUUUCAGUGUUGAGAUACCAGAAACGUUUUGAAGGUAAUUCUCCCUCAAAAAUACUUUGAUUGUUUGUUUUGGUUUGUAUGAAUGCAUAAACAGGUAUCGUUCUACAUGGAAAGAGCUUGUGAGCUCCUCCUCCACCCACGAAAGUCACUAAUAAAGCCAGGAGGACAAUAGCCGAGGAACCAAGUGUACAAGGUCAUACCUUGUACAGAUAGAGCAUGGCAUUUCACACUUUAUUUUGGUGAAGGAACAUUAUUCAAGACAGGAAAGUAAAGUGAAUAGCUAUUUUGCACUAUGCUGGGUUGGAAGUACAGGAAGGAUCUGGCUGCAUGGUUCAGUGAUCCAUGGCUCAGGACAACAGCAGUCUGUCUUUGCACUGGCUAAAGUGACUGCAGGGGAGUCUUGCUGUCAGGACCAAAGGUUAGAUUCCAGUCCUGCUGAAAGACUGAUGUUCCCAAGAAAAAGAAGAUUCAAUAUGAAGUAUCACCUGGCAAAGUUCAACCUCUAUCUCGCUGAGUUGAUGCAAUAUAAGAAGACCUGUGCCUCUAUUGUUUGUGCUUCUGUGUUCUUUCUGAAUAAAAUAAAGUAAUAAAAUGAAAAUAAACUAAAAUAAUAGCAUAAAUAAAACA